GGUGCCCCCCCCCCCCCCCCCCCCCCCACAUUUCACAGAGGAGGAUGACGAUGAUGAAGAGUUUGUUUGCAUUCGUGACCAAAAGCUGCCGCCGCUCCACGGCGGGGAAACCAAAGCCGAGCAGGGGGGGGGGGAGAAACAAUCGUGACUUUAUUUAUUCAUUUUAAUAUUUGUAAAUAUUUUUAUAGAUGGGAAGGGGGGCAGGAGGCGUGAUUUCCCUCCUUUGUAAUUCUCUUUUUUUUGUGCAAUGCCGUCGCCAAAAACGCCACGCUUCGUCACUUUUGUGGGAAAAAUCGGGAGUCUGUUGACGCUCACUCCUGGGGAGGGAAUUUUUAAUGAAUUCUGGCCUGUCAGACGUUCACUUUCACCGUAGACUGCGAAUAAGAACGACCACACUACGUUUCCCAGAAUGCAAAGCUCCAUCCGUCAUGUGUUUUCACAGUUCAGAUCAAUCAAGUCGUCUGAACGAUCAGCUGAAAGCGAAACUGAAGGCAGAUCUUUGAGUCAGCUGCUCCGACCAAAGCGGGACGCCACCCGCCCCGAAAAGAGGAACCGCCGAGCUCAUCCAGCCUGAUCAGAGGACGCCGCCGCCGCGUUUCCAUUUUCAGAGCGGUGGAAAUGUCAGCGCAGGAGAGCAGGGAUUUUCUCUGGUUGUUGGUUUGAGUCUGAUGACAUCAUCCGCAGAUGAAAACACUGAGCCGCCCGCCUUCAGGCUCCUCCCUCUUUCCUUUGCUUUUGUUGGACAAACCUUUUCUGAGUGUGGAUCUUCAGGGCGGGAACCUGGCCGUCUCUGCUCAUCAGCAGCAGCAUCUGCUCUGCACUUUGGCCUCUGAAUCAUAAAGUGGCUUUUAUUUCCUACUUUUUUGUUCUGCAGCUGCUCGCCAAAGAAAAACGCCGUCAAUCGUGUCUUCCUGUUGCCUCCAAGCUUCUUCAUUUCACUGUUGCAUCAAACUCCACGUGGUUUUAUUUUACACUGAGAACGCAUCAAAGUGAGCUCUCUUGCAGUUUCUCCUAUCUGUGGUGUUUCGUCUGCACUGUGGACGGUUCUGGAGCCUUUGCAUCGGGAGCUGCAGGACGGUUCUCCGCAGGUUCCUGCAGGUUUUGGUGGAACUUUGGGUUUAUUUUCUGGGAAUCUCAGACUUGACCUUGAGUGAACCCUGGUGGAACGUUCCGGUGAACAGGAGCUCUCACUCCUCUUCAUACUUCAGAGGCACUUCAGCGAAGGAGCGCCGUUUUUUCCCCCCAGAAGCAGAAGUUGGUCAAAGUUGGCGGCUCGGAGUCCGACCAGGAUUUCCAAACGCUCCUUAACGUGACGCUGCAGCUUUCUGCGGCUCACACCCGUGGUGCCUUCACUGCCUGUAAAUCCCAGUUCUGCUUUCUUCACGGUUCAUUCCUGCAUUUUUUAAUCGGCGUUUGUGACGAGGCCUCCGUUUUCGCUCCUCUUUGGCGUGAAUUUGGGAACGUUGGGAGAAACUUAUGUCCUCCUUUGAUGCUUUAUUUAAGAGAAGACAGACAAAGGCUGUAAAUAUUGUUUUAUAAUUUCUGUCUGAAUGAAUUUUGAAAUGAAGAAAGUUGUUAAUAAAGUUGAGAUAUUUUCUCUACGAUGCUUUUGUUCAAUCUUUGUGGUUGAAAUCUGAAGUCUGUCAGGGAUCCAGGAUUUAAACUUUAAUUAAAAAUAGAAAUCAAUAAAUCUGUAAAUAAAAUGAGAUCACAUGAUUUCAAACCCUCAUAGCCUUAAGGUUAGCAACUCCCUCAGUAACAAAUCCUCUUGAAUAUGUAAAAAUGAUUGAACAAUGUCACUUGAUACACUUUAGGCUCAUAGCCCUGACUUCCUUGUCGCCAUGGCAACCAAAACUGCAAAAAGUCGACUUUCUCCUCCGCACACUGUAAAAAAACAUAAAAAUAAUGGUAAAUUAUUGGUACCAAAAAUUAUUCAAGGGGUUUUCUGUUUCCUUAAAACAAUUUCACCAAUUUUGUAGAUCUGAACAUUUCUGCUAGGUGUUGUCCGAUUGGCUCACUGCUUGGAGGCGGGACCCAGAAAACACAGAUGUGACACGGGACGGACUAUUCCAGGUGUUUGAGGUCCUAACUCUCCUACCUGGGGGGGAGAAUUUUGUUCCCCACAUUUAACCCAACCCCCCCAACCUUUUAAUACUGAGUUAAGCAGGGAAGCGGCACCGGAUCCUAUUUUUAGAGUCUGUGGGAUGACCCAACCCACAACCUCCAAGUUUCAGGGCAGACGCUCUACCACGAGGCCACCAAUGCGGUUUAGUACAAAACAUGAGGAUUUUUUCGUCAAACCUCCGAAGCUUAGAAAACUAAAAACCACCAAUCGUAUCAGAGAGCUGUAGUGGUGUCCCCCAUAGAAAAUGGUUUCUUCCGGCUCCAAGCAAAUCGAGUCAAUCCGGACGCCAUUUCUUUGACACGGGCACCGCCAUGUUUGAGCCGGACAGACCAUGUCAGUAAGCAGUGAUUGAUCCGAGUCUGUGUUUCUAUGGCAACCGCUCUCUCCAAUCACCACUUCGUACGUUAGAUUUGGGGGCCAGUAAGCCCCACCUACUUUUAUGAGGCAUCUGGUCAGUUUAUAGCUUGAGCUACAGAAAAAAUAUAAAAUAAAAGAUGUUUAAAAAAAUUAUCAGAUCCAGAACGGUCCUCUGACCAAUAGAGAGACGGAGUAUCAGCUGUUUGUUUCUCUACAGACGUCUGUGGGAUUAUGGCUUCCUGGAGUCUGCCGGAACGCCAGGGGGCGGGGCCACUCACUCCGAUUCUCACACACAGUCGAUAAGAAAAGCCCAAAAAAGGAAGGCGAGGAGGAGGAGUGGAAGUUCCAGAGCGGAGGAAGCAGAAAUCAUUUAUGAUCUGUAGUCAGCUGACUAAUGUGUGUGUGGGGGAGGGGGGUCUUCUUUUACUACUUUAAACUCUGUCAGCAGUUUUUUCUUCUAGAUUUGCUUUUCUAUCUGCUUGUAGUUUUUCCUCAUUUCUGAAUGUGUUCUCCAUCUUUGAAUCUUCCUUUGUCCUAACAAAAUUCUCUGAGGGCCUGAAAAUAAAACCCAGUUGGAACUAAAAGCCACCAUGAUGACACUCCCACCGCCUGCACCGGAACAGGGAGCGACACGCUGAAAGGCCGGGAGCAGAGCCGGAAGUGAGCCGCUUUUGUCUCGGGUUCAAUUCCAAAGUCAUGAAGCCAGUCGCCCCGAUGUGUGAAUGUUUGUUUUAUGGUCCUAUCAGUGCUUCAUUUGGAUCUUCUGAGGAUCAACAAGUGAAAAGGUUGUUGAUCUGAAUCUUUCUAAAAUGUCGACUUCUCCAGCUUGUGGUCGACUGGAGCAGCUGAAGAUCCGGUUCAUGGAACUGAAAGUUAAAGUUGGACAUUUUGAACUCAAAAUAAAUCAAAGGGUUAACUCUGUAUUUUCCGUGUUGUUCCCCCUCCCUGUUGUUGACUCAGAUGAGCAUCUCUUGUGUGAUCAUCGCUCUGAGGACUUUCAUCAGUGACGUGCUUUGACUUCCUGAACAGAUCCAGCCGUUUGGACCAGACCGGGUCUCUGCUGCUGACGCAGUUCUCCUUCGUCGCACACUAACGAGGAUGUGAGGAAAUCUGAGAUUCAGCCGCUGUUGUGCAACAAACAAGCUUUUGAAGACUUGUGAAAACUUUUCUCACAACAAAAGAACCACAAAACUCCAUAGGGUUAACCAAAGAGAUGAGAAAAGUUUGGAAAUAACAGAAGAAAAAGUCUCAUUUCUUUAGGUGAGCAUUUCCAAAUUCACUGCAAGACGUGUUUUCAGAUGAUCUGGAGUGUUUUUUUUUUUACACGCAAUAGUAAUGGAAAGGGUUUCUUUCAAUCGAUCAGAACAAAAAACAUCUUUUUGAUCAACACAGAAACUAAUUUAAAGAAUCCUUCGGCUUUUCAUCAGUAAAAUAACUGCAAUGACAGAUUUACUCAAAGUCUUGAUGCUGAGCUUUAGUUCUACAGCUGGAUCAACAAAUAUCCCUAAAAAAACAUUUGACAAACUUUUAUUUCCUUUAGACCAAAUGGAUCAUCUCACUAAAUGUGAAUAUAUGUUAAAAAAAAAAUUUUUUAUUGACGACAAGAGAUGGAAAAAAAAGUUGUCCACUACAAUUCCCAGAAUCCCGUACUUUAACAUUUGGAGUCUUGAAAAGCCCCAAAUGUCCUCUGCAGAAACCAAAAGGAGUCCAUUCAAUAAUCUGCGGUGGUUGGAGAUGUUCAGGUGUGGAAAUGUCCUCUACAGGGGACACAUUUGUGGUAGGCAGGAGGUAAAAGAACUUUAAGACGUGCCCCAGGAUACCAAUCAAAUCCAGAAUGCUCUUUUUUUAUCUUUAGAAAGAGUUUGCUAUUAGCUCCAUACAUUUUUCUGCACUGGAAACCCUCCAUCCCGUUGUUCCAUUUGUGUCUCUCAAAUAUUCUGGAAUAAGUGCUGCUGGAGGCACCCACGAACGAUUGCAUCGAUCAGGUCAUAUGGCGUGCAAACACCUGCACCACAGACCAUGCAGAAAGGUUUUCAUUAGCAUGAGCUGCAAAAGGCAAGAAAGUGUUCAUGCAAAUGUCAAAUGUGAUCCAAAAUAAAGGCUGUUGCAGAA
Molecule: long non-coding RNA, 4594 nt
Organism: Oryzias latipes (Japanese medaka)
Lineage: Eukaryota; Metazoa; Chordata; Actinopteri; Beloniformes; Adrianichthyidae
Source: RefSeq, a predicted model, not a curated record